Molecule: transfer RNA, 72 nt
Filed under: Camelus bactrianus (Bactrian camel)
Lineage: Eukaryota; Metazoa; Chordata; Mammalia; Artiodactyla; Camelidae
Also listed under: 2 other names
Rfam family: tRNA
About the family: Transfer RNA (tRNA) molecules are approximately 80 nucleotides in length. Their secondary structure includes four short double-helical elements and three loops (D, anti-codon, and T loops). Further hydrogen bonds mediate the characteristic L-shaped molecular structure. tRNAs have two regions of fundamental functional importance: the anti-codon, which is responsible for specific mRNA codon recognition, and the 3' end, to which the tRNAs corresponding amino acid is attached (by aminoacyl-tRNA synthetases). tRNAs cope with the degeneracy of the genetic code in two manners: having more than one tRNA (with a specific anti-codon) for a particular amino acid; and 'wobble' base-pairing, i.e. permitting non-standard base-pairing at the 3rd anti-codon position.
Source: Rfam by way of RNAcentral
AAGGGUGUAGCUCAGUGGUAGAGUGCAUGCUUAGCGUGCACGAGAUCCUGGAUUCAAUCCCCUGUACCUCCA